CGCGAAAGAAAGUUAGUAAGUUUUAUUUUAAGCUGACAUAUGAUAUACAUAAUACCAGACAACAAAUGAGCACCAUUCGAGAGCUCUUUAACCGACUAUCGCAUGUAUCGAAAAUGUUGCGGUUUAAAUAUUUUCUAUAAAUGUACAGGUUUUGAAAUUUUCUUGUUAAAACUGGUCAGGGAAUUCUUCUUGACCCUUCAGCGUGUACAUUCAUAAACGGUCAGUAGAACAC
RNAcentral lists this long non-coding RNA (232 nucleotides) under Mytilus galloprovincialis (Mediterranean mussel). Lineage: Eukaryota; Metazoa; Mollusca; Bivalvia; Mytilida; Mytilidae. The record is from RNAcentral.